GAUGAACGCUGGCGGCGUGCCUAAUACAUGCAAGUCGAGCGAACAGACGAGGAGCUUGCUCCUUUGACGUUAGCGGCGGACGGGUGAGUAACACGUGGGUAACCUACCUAUAAGACUGGGAUAACUUCGGGAAACCGGAGCUAAUACCGGAUAAUAUUUCGAACCGCAUGGUUCGAUAGUGAAAGAUGGCUUUGCUAUCACUUAUAGAUGGACCUGCGCCGUAUUAGCUAGUUGGUAAGGUAACGGCUUACCAAGGCAACGAUUCGUAGCCGACCUGAGAGGGUGAUCGGCCACACUGGAACUGAGACACGGUCCAGACUCCUACGGGAGGCAGCAGUAGGGAAUCUUCCGCAAUGGGCGAAAGCCUGACGGAGCAACGCCGCGUGAGUGAUGAAGGUCUUCGGAUCGUAAAACUCUGUUAUUAGGGAAGAACAAACGUGUAAGUAACUGUGCACGUCUUGACGGUACCUAAUCAGAAAGCCACGGCUAACUACGUG
Molecule: ribosomal RNA, 497 nt
Filed under: uncultured bacterium
Lineage: Bacteria
Description: partial 16S ribosomal RNA
Rfam family: Bacterial small subunit ribosomal RNA
Source: RNAcentral